RNAcentral lists this ribosomal RNA (778 nucleotides) under uncultured Neocallimastigales. Its description in RNAcentral is "partial large subunit ribosomal RNA". It matches the Rfam family "Eukaryotic large subunit ribosomal RNA", at positions 24 to 644 of the family's 3401-position model. The record is from RNAcentral. Lineage: Eukaryota; Fungi; Neocallimastigomycota; Neocallimastigomycetes; Neocallimastigales.
UAUCUCUGUAGAGUCUGCAUAUCAAUAAGCGGAGGAAAAGAAACUAACAAGGAUUCCCUUAGUAACGGCGAGUGAAGCGGGAAGAGCUCAAAUUUGAAAUCUUCAAGGUUCUACCUUGACGAAUUGUAGUUUAAAGAAGUGUUUUCUGUUAGAUGAGUUCGGUAAAGUUCCUUGGAAUAGGGACAUCAUAGAGGGUGAGAAUCCCGUAUUUGACCGUUAUUAUUCUAGCUGUGUGAUACACUUUCAAAGAGUCGGAUUGUUUGGGAAUGCAGUCCAAAAUGGGUGGUAAAUUUCAUCUAAAGCUAAAUAUUGGCGAGAGACCGAUAGCGAACAAGUACCGUGAGGGAAAGAUGAAAAGAACUUUGAAAAGAGAGUUAAACAGUACGUGAAAUUGUCAAAAGGGAAGCGUUUGACACCAGUGUUGUUUUCUCGAAAAUCAAUUAAAAAUGCUUGAUUUGCAGGUUGUAUUGACCUUAAAAGCUUUCUUCACUUUUUUCAUGUCUUUUUUAAUGCACUUUUCGUUUAACAAGUCAACAUCAGUUUCUUUUGUUGUAAAAAGGUCAUUGGAAGGUGGCUUUCUUUUCGGAGAAAGUGUUUAUAGCCUUUGACUCCUGCAAUCGGAGAGACUGAGGUCUGCAGCGUAGAUCCUUCUGGAUUAGAUUCAUUUGUGCUAAGUUACAACUGUUUAUAGACAACUUGUUGACUAUAUUCGAUCCUGUAGCUUACUCGCUUAUGUAAUUUUACCUACGCUUAGGAUGUUGACUGAUAUGUAGUCGUA